UACAGAGGUCCCGAGCGUUGUUCGGAUUUAUUGGGCGUAAAGGGUGCGUAGGCGGCGGUGUAAGUUGGGUGUGAAAUCCCGGGGCUUAACCUCGGAAUUGCAUUCAAUACUGCUUCGCUUGAGUACUGGAGAGGAGGCUGGAAUUUACGGUGUAGCAGUGAAAUGCGUAGAUAUCGUAAGGAAGGCCGGUGGCGAAAGCGAGCCUCUGGACAGUUACUGACGCUGAUGCACGAAGGCCAGGGGAGCAAACGGG
RNAcentral lists this ribosomal RNA (253 nucleotides) under uncultured bacterium. RNAcentral describes it as "partial 16S ribosomal RNA". It matches the Rfam family "Bacterial small subunit ribosomal RNA", at positions 524 to 776 of the family's 1533-position model. The record is from RNAcentral.